RNAcentral lists this ribosomal RNA (455 nucleotides) under Astyanax sp. DM-2003. RNAcentral's name for it is "partial 12S ribosomal RNA". It matches the Rfam family "Bacterial small subunit ribosomal RNA", at positions 754 to 1413 of the family's 1533-position model. Lineage: Eukaryota; Metazoa; Chordata; Actinopteri; Characiformes; Acestrorhamphidae. The record is from RNAcentral.
AAAAAGCUUCAAACUGGGAUUAGAUACCCCACUAUGCUUAGCCCUAAACCUAGAUAUUUAUUCUACAAAAAAUAUCCGCCAGGGUAACUACGAGCGCUAGCUUANAACCCAAAGGACUUGACGGUGUCUCAGACCCACCUANAGGAGCCUGUUCUAGAACCGAUAAUCCACGUUUAACCUCACCACCCCUUGCUUUCCCCGCCUAUAUACCGUCGUCGCAAGCUUACCCUGUGAAGGACAAACAGUAAGCAGGAUGGGUAUACCCCAGAACGUCAGGUCGAGGUGUAGCUUACGAGGUGGGAAGAAAUGGGCUACAUUUUCUACAUCAGAAUAUACGAAUGGCAUUAUGANACUNAAUGCCUGAAGGUGGGAUUUAGUAGUNAAAAUCAAAUANAGAGUCAUUUUGAAUUAGGCUCUGANACGCGCACACACCGCCCCGUCACCCUCUGCAGUCA